GUUCCUCUUGAGCUGUUGCUGGUUGUUGGAAGGGAUAAGCGUUUCAGGAUCCACCCCUGCAGAGAAGCUUGGACUAAUUGCCUUCCCAGAGACUCUUCCUCCUGCAGAUUGAGAGGGCAGCUGCUGCUGGCUGCGGGCUCAAAAGCAGCCACGAUGCUGUAACUCCAAGCAACAGGAAGGGUCAGGAAGCAGAGGGGAAGUGCCCUGGCAGCAGCUCUGCAGACUCAGACUGUCACUUCCAGUCCAGGAUCUCCAGCUAAGUACUGCACUUCUGGGCUGAUCAACACCUUCCCUUGGACUGCUUCAGCUUGCACAGCUCACCCAGUGAGGAAUUAGUGAGGUGAGGAAACCCAAGACCUCUCACAGGAAGCUGCCACACUGUUGUCCCUUCCAGUCAGCACUUCUAUA
This is a long non-coding RNA of Numida meleagris (helmeted guineafowl), 408 nucleotides long. RefSeq lists it as uncharacterized. NCBI's taxonomy places the organism in Eukaryota, Metazoa, Chordata, Aves, Galliformes, Numididae. The transcript has 4 exons. The record is from RefSeq and is a predicted model, not a curated record.